UUGGAGAGGUUUGAUCCUGGCUCAGGAUGAACGCUGGCGGCGUGCCUAAUACAUGCAAGUCGAGCGAACAGAUAAGGAGCUUGCUCCUUUGACGUUAGCGGCGGACGGGUGAGUAACACGUGGAUAACCUACCUAUAAGACUGGGAUAACUUCGGGAAACCGGAGCUAAUACCGGAUAACAUAUUGAACCGCAUGGUUCAAUAGUGAAAGGCGGCUUUGCUGUCACUUAUAGAUGGAUCCGCGCCGUAUUAGCUAGUUGGUAAGGUAACGGCUUACCAAGGCAACGAUACGUAGCCGACCUGAGAGGGUGAUCGGCCACACUGGAACUGAGACACGGUCCAGACUCCUACGGGAGGCAGCAGUAGGGAAUCUUCCGCAAUGGGCGAAAGCCUGACGGAGCAACGCCGCGUGAGUGAUGAAGGUCUUCGGAUCGUAAAACUCUGUUAUCAGGGAAGAACAAAUGUGUAAGUAACUGUGCACAUCUUGACGGUACCUGAUCAGAAAGCCACGGCUAACUACGUGCCAGCAGCCGCGGGUAAU
This 540-nucleotide ribosomal RNA is filed under the name Staphylococcus sp. RNAcentral describes it as "bacterial SSU rRNA". It matches the Rfam family "Bacterial small subunit ribosomal RNA", at positions 1 to 524 of the family's 1533-position model. The record is from RNAcentral. Lineage: Bacteria; Bacillati; Bacillota; Bacilli; Caryophanales; Staphylococcaceae.